GGGGGCUUUUCAUUCAUUAAUCCUGGCUAUCCACGGUUUCAUGCAUAUUAAUAUUUGUAAUAUCUUAUUGUUUAGCAUUGGUUGUUGUAUACUUUCGUUAAGAAUUGUUUCACUCGACCUCAUGAGUAAUGAACAUUGCUUCCAAGAAUUCUAGCUCUUGCAGAAGCAAUACUUUCUAUGGGUUGGCAGGAGGUUGAAUAACAUUGUUUUGUAUCUUUAGCAAUUCCUCAGUUGAAUGGGAAUAUCUCUUUGAACAAAAAGGUGUUCAUAUAACCAGAAUUGUCAACGUUGUGAACUUUACUUGAAAUGAUCACAAGUUUAAGACAUGUUGCUAUGAUGAGGGUGCAAUAUUCUCUUUUAUUAAAAUUCUAAUCUUUCAUCUCCACCGCUCCAUAAAUGACCUUGACUUCUCAUGAUCUGUUGGCGACCAAUGUUCCGUUUAAACAUGAUUCCACUAUUAUUUUCUUUUCAGUGCAGGGAAGGAAAAAUCAUCUCGAUGACAGAAUUGAGCAGGAAUAAUGGGCUCCAUUCUUCUGUUUUGCAGAUUGUCUUGGAAUCUCCUAAACCUAGAUGCAGAGAUCUCGACAUGCAUACACUGAUGAAGGGCUUCUUGUUUCUUACUGUAUUUUGAAAAAUUCAGAUGUUUACUCUUCGAUUUGGAUUGUUAUCGUUGAUUGAACAAGCUGCCCAAUCAGAGCCUGUUGCCACCUUGUAAUAGAUAAUCUCACAAAUGAUUGAUCUGCGAGGAAGUUGGAGCCUCUGGGUUUAUACUCAGGCAUUCCAUGCUGCCCAAUGGGUAUAAUUGAUUAUUGUGAAACGCAGGACCUAUUAAGCAAGCUUGCAGAAUUUGGGGGUUGGUACCAACAGCAAGACUAUUCCUGCUGUUCUAUAUGUGAACUUGAUAUGAACACAAAGUUACUUGUAAAUAUCAUACAUACAUAUACUCAUAUUUUCCUCGAUGUUCUUUACUGAACAGCAUUACAAUGAGCAUUCAUAGCACUAUUAUCCAA
Neltuma alba is the source of this 1010-nucleotide long non-coding RNA. RefSeq lists it as uncharacterized. NCBI's taxonomy places the organism in Eukaryota, Viridiplantae, Streptophyta, Magnoliopsida, Fabales, Fabaceae. The transcript is spliced from 3 exons. The record is from RefSeq and is a predicted model, not a curated record.